CUGCUCAAGAAUGUAAAGCCAUGUCAUUCAACUUGUUGUCAAUUGAUCCUACUGGUAAAUACAAAUACAUGUCACUUAAAAAGAUUAUGCCAUUAUAGUUUUCUGAAACAAGAAUACGCCAUAAUAGCAUAGUGCCAGAAUUAUUUCAGUCGCUAUACAGUUUGAUGUGAUUCACAUGCAUGAUAUUUUAAUGAGUAGGCAAAUCGAAAUAUAAGGCAAGUAGAAGGAAGAGGAACCAGGAGUGGUGAUGUUGUGCUCAUCUAUACCGUCGGUUGUGAGCUAUGCAGUGGCAGCUGCCCUACAGAGAGGAAUGGUUGUGGCCCGGGAACAUGGCGCCUCAAAAUCAAUGUUAUAUGCUGUUGAGGAAGGGCGCCUCUGAUGGUCGCGCUGCAUCACCAUGUCAUCGCCAGUGCCGACAACGGGCGAACGCCGGGAGGGAGGUGGCACACCGCCGCAGGAGAGCGGAGUAGAGCACGGGACAACGUGAGGAGGGGGGCAACUUACCAAACCUCCCGCCAUGGUCACCCUCGAUUGGAUCCACCAUCCUGCACAUGUCGUCGUUGACGUCCUACGCCAGUGCCUUCUUCAGGCACUGCAUAGCGGCCGCUCCACCUCACCAUUGCCUUGACACGGAGCAGCCAACCAGGACGGAGCGAUAAGGUGUUGGAGCACCUCCUUGUGUCAGCUUCAGCGCCCGCUUAGCCAAGGUGGCAACUCCCGGCGACGCCGUGGGUGGUCGGCUCUGGUGGCAUGCGAUGGCGGGCGUCGGCGAUCUGGGCAGGCGAAAGGUCGAGGCGCGGGGUGGCUCGCAGCGUCAAGCAUGUGGCACACUUGAACAACGGGGACGCCGGGACUCCAGCACCUGAACGACGUGAGGCCGCGAGCUCAUGGUCGAGAGCAAUGGCAUUGGCCCAAGAUGACGGCAACGUCGACGAUGUGCAGCCGCGGUCUGAGUUUAGCCUACCGCGCGGAGGUACGCCGCCUUCCUUCCUCUCCUCCGUCAUGGCCUUUGAUCGUGGUGGGGGCGACGGGAGUGAAUUUUGGAGCUUGUUGGUGGGACUACGCCGCCUUCCCUUCCUCUCCUCCGUCAUGGCCUCUGCUUGUGGUGGGUGCGACGGGAGAGAAUUUUGAAGCUUGGUGGUGGGACGAGGAGGCGGCG
This 1159-nucleotide long non-coding RNA is filed under the name Triticum aestivum (bread wheat). RNAcentral's name for it is "long non-coding RNA (TAES_LNC001029)". The record is from RNAcentral. Lineage: Eukaryota; Viridiplantae; Streptophyta; Magnoliopsida; Poales; Poaceae.